GACUUCUAUCUUUCUCAAACUUCCCCACUUCCGGCCGCCCCCAUCUCAUUCUCUUCUCUUCUCUUCUCAGCAGCAAUAGCAAGCUUUUUGAUCGGAUAAAGGUGAACUCUAUUUGUCUUUCUCCAUGUUUUUCCAUCUAUUUACAAAGUAAUUGUAUUUAACAGACUCGACUGAAUUAGCUGUUGCAUCUAUAACUAUUAUACCAUACAAAAUUCGAACUAUUAUACCAUACAAAAUUCGUUUUGAUUAAUGAACAGACUCGACUGAAUUAGCUCUGCCAUGUUUUUCCAUCUAUUUACAAAUC
This 304-nucleotide long non-coding RNA is filed under the name Aquilegia coerulea. RNAcentral describes it as "long non-coding RNA (ACOE_LNC000055)". The record is from RNAcentral. Lineage: Eukaryota; Viridiplantae; Streptophyta; Magnoliopsida; Ranunculales; Ranunculaceae.